Molecule: long non-coding RNA, 678 nt
Organism: Camellia sinensis
Lineage: Eukaryota; Viridiplantae; Streptophyta; Magnoliopsida; Ericales; Theaceae
Source: RefSeq, a predicted model, not a curated record
UUUUGGAAAAUUGUAUUUAGUUUACAUUUUUAUUCUCAUCUCUUUCCAAAACAUUCUAGACAUGAUUUCUGACUCAAUAAAGAUUAAUAAGCUAUCAAUCAACAUAAAUUAGUUAGUUAAGAAUGAAUUAUUGAUCUAGUGGUAAUUGUUUAAGAAGCCAAGCAAAAGAUCAAUCUAUUUGGAAAAGAAUGGCUUAGUAAUGAAAGAAUAUGUGAAACAAGAACCCAGUUUAUUUGAAUGAGAAAGAAUAAGCGUAGCAGAAGACUAGAAAAGUCAAGUUCGAUCAAGGAAGUAAUAUUGUAUUUCAAUGUGUAUAUGUUAUGUGCUUGUGUAGGUCAUGCGCCAUUGUCUGCCUGAUUUGUCUGAUUUGUUCAGUCCGUCUGAUUUGCUUCUGCGACUAUCUGUGAUCGGGCGCGUGACCAGGCUUAGAGGCAUCUGCCUAGAAUCUGUUUUUGUCAGCCAACCUAUGUGCCUCCCGUAGAGGUUCCAGACAUGUCAAGUGAUUAUCGCUAUGUGAUUUAAAGUUUAAGUUUUGUUUUCGUGUUUGGUUGAACAAGUCUUGUGUAUUUUGUAAAUAGGGCUAAGUCCUUUUUUAGUCUAAUCUGUAUUUAUAUGAUGACUUAAAGAUAAUGUGUAUAUAUGUAUAUAAAAAGUUUAAAAUUUUUCUGUCUCAUAUAA